CCACCACGAAGACGCAGCACAAGGUGAAGAGUGGACUCCUUUUGAAUAUUGUAGUCGGCUAGUGUCCGUCCAUCUUCGAGCUGCUUGCCUGCGAAGAUCAACCUUUGCUGGUCCGGGGGAAUACCUUCUUUGUCUUGAAUCUUAGCUUUGACAUUGUCAAUAGUGUCGCUCGAUUCAACUUCAAGCGUGAUCGUCUUCCCCGUAAGAGUUUUCACGAAGAUCUGCAUUUUGGCGGCGGCUCUAUCUCUGUUACCCCUU
This 258-nucleotide unclassified non-coding RNA is filed under the name Hevea brasiliensis (rubber tree). The record is from RNAcentral. Lineage: Eukaryota; Viridiplantae; Streptophyta; Magnoliopsida; Malpighiales; Euphorbiaceae.